This 468-nucleotide ribosomal RNA is filed under the name uncultured bacterium. Its description in RNAcentral is "partial 16S ribosomal RNA". It matches the Rfam family "Bacterial small subunit ribosomal RNA", at positions 28 to 507 of the family's 1533-position model. The record is from RNAcentral.
GAUGAACGCUGGCGGCGUGCUUAACACAUGCAAGUCGAACGGUGAAGGCGGAGCUUGCUCUGCUGGAUCAUUGGCGAACGGGUGAGUAACACGUGAGCAAUCUGCCCCUGACUCUGGGAUAAGCGCUGGAAACGGCGUCUAAUACUGGAUACGAGCUGCGAAGGCAUCUUCAGCAGCUGGAAAGAAUUUCGGUCAGGGAUGAUCUCGCGGCCUAUCAGCUUGUUGGUGAGGUAAUGGCUCACCAAGGCGUCGGCGGGUAGCCGACCUGAGAAGGUGACCAGCCACACUAGGACUGAGAGACGGCGCAGUCUCCAACGGGAGGCAACAGUGGGGAAUAUUGCACAAUGGGCGAAAGCCUGAUGCAGCAGCGCCGCGUGAGGGACGACGGCCUUCGGGUUAUAAACCUCUUUUAGCAGGGAAGAAGCGAAAGUGACGGUACCUGCAGAAAAAGCGCCGGCUAACUACGUG